Molecule: unclassified non-coding RNA, 335 nt
Filed under: soil metagenome
Description: partial contains 5.8S ribosomal RNA, internal transcribed spacer 2, and large subunit ribosomal RNA
Rfam family: 5.8S ribosomal RNA (bases 1-120)
Source: RNAcentral
GAUGAAGAACGCAGCGAAAUGCGAUAAGUAAUGUGAAUUGCAGAAUUCAGUGAAUCAUCGAAUCUUUGAACGCACAUUGCGCCCGCCAGUAUUCUGGCGGGCAUGCCUGUUCGAGCGUCAUUUCAACCAUCAAGCCCCGGGCUUGUGUUGGGGACCUGCGGCUGCCGCAGGCCCUGAAAAGCAGUGGCGGGCUCGCUGUCACACCGAGCGUAGUAGCAUACAUCUCGCUCUGGGCGUGCUGCGGGUUCCGGCCGUUAAACCACCUUUUAACCCAAGGUUGACCUCGGAUCAGGUAGGAAGGCCCGCUGAACUUAAGCAUAUCAAUAAGCGGAGGA